UUGUAAGUGUGUAAGGGCGUUCGGUGGAUGCCUUGGUACCAGGAGCCGAUGAAGGACGUGGUAGGCCGCGAUAGUCCUCGGGGAGUUGUCAAACGAGCUGUGAUCCGAGGGUGUCCGAAUGGGGAAACCCAGCACGAGUGAUGUCGUGUUACCCACCUCUGAAUGUAUAGGGGGUGUGGAGGGAACGUGGGGAAGUGAAACAUCUCAGUACCCAUAGGAAGAGAAAACAAAAGUGAUUCCGUGAGUAGUGGCGAGCGAAAGCGGAUGAGGCUAAACCAUGCGCAUGUGAUACCGGGUAGGGGUUGUGUGUGUGGUGUUGUGGGGUUCAUCUUCUUCCAUCUGCCUGUGGAAGCGUGAGUCAGAAAAUCGUGUGUUAGGUGAAGUGGCCUGGAAUGGUCUGCCGUAGACGGUGAGAGUCCGGUA
RNAcentral lists this ribosomal RNA (423 nucleotides) under Gordonia amicalis. RNAcentral's name for it is "partial 23S ribosomal RNA". It matches the Rfam family "Bacterial large subunit ribosomal RNA", at positions 1 to 377 of the family's 2925-position model. The record is from RNAcentral. Lineage: Bacteria; Bacillati; Actinomycetota; Actinomycetes; Mycobacteriales; Gordoniaceae.